GAUGAACGCUGGCGGCGUGCCUAAUACAUGCAAGUCGAGCGAACGGACGAGAAGCUUGCUUCUCUGAUGUUAGCGGCGGACGGGUGAGUAACACGUGGAUAACCUGCCUAUAAGACUGGGAUAACUUCGGGAAACCGUAGCUAAUACCGGAUAAUAUUUUGAACCGCAUGGUUCAACAGUGAAAGACGGUCUUGCUGUCACUUAUAGAUGGAUCCGCGCUGCAUUAGCUAGUUGGUAAGGUAACGGCUUACCAAGGCAACGAUGCAUAGCCGACCUGAGAGGGUGAUCGGCCACACUGGAACUGAGACACGGUCCAGACUCCUACGGGAGGCAGCAGUAGGGAAUCUUCCGCAAUGGGCGAAAGCCUGACGGAGCAACGCCGCGUGAGUGAUGAAGGUCUUCGGAUCGUAAAACUCUGUUAUUAGGGAAGAACAUAUGUGUAAGUAACUGUGCACAUCUUGACUGUACCUAAUCAGAAAGCCACGGCUAACUACGUG
This 497-nucleotide ribosomal RNA is filed under the name uncultured bacterium. Its description in RNAcentral is "partial 16S ribosomal RNA". It matches the Rfam family "Bacterial small subunit ribosomal RNA", at positions 28 to 507 of the family's 1533-position model. The record is from RNAcentral.